This 718-nucleotide ribosomal RNA is filed under the name Peribacillus simplex. RNAcentral's name for it is "bacterial SSU rRNA". It matches the Rfam family "Bacterial small subunit ribosomal RNA", at positions 36 to 738 of the family's 1533-position model. Lineage: Bacteria; Bacillati; Bacillota; Bacilli; Caryophanales; Bacillaceae. The record is from RNAcentral.
CAUGCGGGGCGGCUAUAGCAUGCUAGUCGAGCGAUCGAUGGGAGCUUGCUCCCUGAGGUUAGCGGCGGACGGGUGAGUAACACGUGGGCAACCUGCCUAUAAGACUGGGAUAACUUCGGGAAACCGGAGCUAAUACCGGAUACGUUCUUUUCUCGCAUGAGAGAAGAUGGAAAGACGGUUUACGCUGUCACUUAUAGAUGGGCCCGCGGCGCAUUAGCUAGUUGGUGAGGUAAUGGCUCACCAAGGCGACGAUGCGUAGCCGACCUGAGAGGGUGAUCGGCCACACUGGGACUGAGACACGGCCCAGACUCCUACGGGAGGCAGCAGUAGGGAAUCUUCCGCAAUGGACGAAAGUCUGACGGAGCAACGCCGCGUGAACGAAGAAGGCCUUCGGGUCGUAAAGUUCUGUUGUUAGGGAAGAACAAGUACCAGAGUAACUGCUGGUACCUUGACGGUACCUAACCAGAAAGCCACGGCUAACUACGUGCCAGCAGCCGCGGUAAUACGUAGGUGGCAAGCGUUGUCCGGAAUUAUUGGGCGUAAAGCGCGCGCAGGUGGUUCCUUAAGUCUGAUGUGAAAGCCCACGGCUCAACCGUGGAGGGUCAUUGGAAACUGGGGAACUUGAGUGCAGAAGAGGAAAGUGGAAUUCCAAGUGUAGCGGUGAAAUGCGUAGAGAUUUGGAGGAACACCAGUGGCGAAGGCGACUUUCUGGUCUGUA